Molecule: ribosomal RNA, 253 nt
Filed under: uncultured bacterium
Lineage: Bacteria
Description: partial 16S ribosomal RNA
Rfam family: Bacterial small subunit ribosomal RNA
Source: RNAcentral
UACGGAGGGUGCAAGCGUUAUCCGGAUUCACUGGGUUUAAAGGGUGCGUAGGUGGUCUGUUAAGUCAGCGGUGAAAGCCUGGAGCUCAACUCCAGAAUUGCCAUUGAUACUGACGGACUUGAAUCAAGUUGAGGUGGAUGGAAUAUUACAUGUAGCGGUGAAAUGCUUAGAUAUGUAAUAGAACACCGAUUGCGAAGGCAGUUCACUAAGCUUGCAUUGACACUGAGGCACGAAAGCGUGGGGAUCAAACAGG